RNAcentral lists this transfer RNA (75 nucleotides) under Candidatus Woesearchaeota archaeon. RNAcentral describes it as "tRNA-Lys". It matches the Rfam family "tRNA". From Rfam's summary of the family: Transfer RNA (tRNA) molecules are approximately 80 nucleotides in length. The record is from RNAcentral. Lineage: Archaea; Nanobdellati; Candidatus Woesearchaeota.
GGGCUCAUAGCUCAGUCUGGCUAGAGCAAUCGGCUCUUAACCGAUAGGUCGGGGGUUCAAAUCCCUCUGAGCCCA